UGGUUAAAAACCCCUCCCACCAGUGCAAGUCUCUCAAUACCCUUUAUCCUUCUAAGCUCCAAAAACACACAGAAUCACUACGAUUUAGUUUACUGCCAUGGAGAAAUCGGUGCAUUUUACAGGCAGGAACAGACCAGCUACAUGCCACCUUGCUGUUUAUAAAACCAAGGCCUGCAGUAUACAAGCCUGCCAACACGUAACCGAGGCCUUGCCGCUCCAGGGACAGAAACCACCUCUCGCCGACCCCUGCGGGGCAAUUAGGCUCAGGGCAGAUACUGCCUGACCUGCUGAGUGUUUCCAGCGUCUUCAGUUUUUUUGUGGACUCCCAGCAGCCUCAGUUAUUUCCUUUGUGCUUAUUUUUCUUUGCACAAAAGAGACCAAAAAGCUCCAGUUAGCUUGUCCAGAGGUUGGAGGCCCAAAGUCCGGAGUCUGUGAGACCGGGAGUCCAGGCCAGGGCCAGGAGGUUGGACGCCUGGAGUCUGCGAGUCUGAGAUUCAACGAACGGAGAUACUGCUUGACCUACUGAGUGUCUCCCGCACUUUCUGUAUUCUUCAGGAAGCAAUGCCAGCAUUGUCAGAGCUGGACAAGUCAUGAAGGGAUAUUAUGUGCAAUCGGGAGUCAUUUUGGGCACCCUAUCUGAGGCAAAGUGUGCUGACCCUGGAGAAGGCCCAGAGGAGGCUCACAAAUAUGAUCCCAGGGUUUGGACCUGAAACGUUGACAGUUCCUUUCCUCCUCCUUCUCAACGGACGUUGCUCCACCCGCCAAACUCUCCCAGCAGAGUUUGUGUGGCUCCAGAUUCGACCAUCUGCACUCUCUUACAUCUCCAUACCCUGGGACCUGGUCUGAAACAUUGACGAUUUAUCUCUCUCCACGGAUGCUACAGACUUGCUGAGAUUCUCCACUAUUUUGUGUGUGAUACCCUCCUCAUAACUGCCAGCAGAUGGGAGGUACAGGAGUCCAAAGACCCCUACUUAACAGUUUAGUACCAGCUUCUCACCCUUCACAAUCAAAUUUCUGAGCAGCCCCUGAUCUCACUAAUUUGCUAUUCCUCUUCUACACUAUUCAUUUGUAUUAUCUUUUAAUGUAAUAUUUUUGUAUUACACCCUACUGCUGCCAUAAAGCCAGCAAAUUUCAUGACAUAGGGUAUGCCAGUGUCAAUGAACCUGAUGCUAAUUCUGGUUCUAACAGGGUUCCUGAGAACGGCUGGGAUCUGAAUACUUGGUCACUGGAGGGGAGCACUGGUGGUGGGAGAGGAUCACCGGUUUCCUGAGAACGGCUGGGAUCUGAAUACUUGGUCACUGGAGGGGAGCACUGGUGGUGGGAGAGGAUCACCGGUUUCCUGAGAACGGCUGGGAUCUGAAUACUUGGUCACUGGAGGGGAGCACUGGUGGUGGGAGAGGAUCACGGGGUUCCUGAGAAUGACUGGGAUCUGAAUACUUGGUCACUGGAGGGGAGCACUGGUGGUGGGAGAGGAUCACGGGGUUCCUGAGAAUGACUGGGAUCUGAAUACUUGGUCACUGGAGGGGAGCACUGGUGGUGGGAGAGGAUCACCGGUUUCCUGAGAAUGACUGGGAUCUGAAUACUUGGUCACUGGAGGGGAGCACUGGUGGUGGGAGAGGAUCACGGGGACAGCAGUGAGGGGAGAAGGAGUAGCCGCUAGCUGACCUGACCGACUCUGUGCAUGAGCGAGCGAUUCUGCUCAGCACUCCGGCUCUGUCCAGCUCGGUUCACACUCUGAUUGUUCCAUCCUGUAUGUACAUAUGGGAUCCAUGCCCAGAGAAAGCUCGGAAUGAGCAUCUGUGAUUAUCACAGAUGGGUACUCGAUAGCUGGUGGGCCGAAUGGCCUUUUUCUGUGCUGAAUGACCCUGUUACUCUCUGAACAGAGAAUGCUGGGAAUAGCAGGUUGACGGUCCUGGAAUCACAGAAUAGCUAUGGUAGGUAAGGCCAUUCAGCCUGUUGGGUCAAUAUGGGCUCUGUAUAAGACCAAUGGCUCCUCUCCCCAGACUCCUGCAAAUCCUUUUCUCUCAUCACGACUCCAGCUCAGUUUCUGAACACUCGCUGUGAUCCAGCCUCCGCCACUACCCAGACCUCCCUGUCUCACCUCUGAUUCUAUUUCCAAUCUCUGUUGCUCUCUGUCCCUGGUCGGUGACCUUAUCACGAGUGGGACUAAUUAUUUGCUCCCUGUAUACUCUGCCCGAUUUUAAAUACCUCAAUUGCAACCUCCAAACAUCCCCCAUUCUGAGGAGAACCACUACUUCCCCAGUCUAUCGUCUCUGGAUUCAUUUUGGUAAAACUCUCUGCCCUUCUCCAAGGUCUUCACGUCUUGAAGAAAUAUGGUUAGCAUAGAUGGGUACUGAAUGGUUGGUAUGGACAUGAUGGGCCUAAUAGCCUGUCUCUGUGUUGUAUGGCUCCAUGACUUUAUAAACAGGGAAUGGGAAGUGACAUGAUAAAGGUUUAUAAGAUGAUUAAGAGGCAUAGAUAGAGUGGACAGCCUGCACCUUUUGCCCAGGCAAAAAUGUCCAAUAUGAAAGGGCAUAAUUUCAAGGUGGUUAGAGGAAAGUAUAGGGGAUGUCAGAAGAAGAUUUUUUACAGAAGACAUGGAACGUGCUGCCAAGGAAGAUAGUGGAGGCAAAUACAUCAGGGAGAUUAAUGAAACUCCUAGGCACAUGGAUGAAAGAAACAUGGAGGUUUAUGUGGGAGGUAAGGGUUAGAUUGAUCUUGGAGUUGGUUAAGAGAUCGGCCCAACGUUGUGGGCCAAAGGGCCUGUACUGUGUUGUAAUGUUCUAUCUUCCCAAAAGAGAAAAUGUUUCAGGGAGACGACCUGUACCACACUAGUAUGAUAUCCUUACAUUUAGAGCUUGGCAUCAGUUAUACGAAAGGCCCUUUCCAACUGAUCGUCUUUGGUCUGCCUUCGUCUUGGGGCGAUAUUAAAAGAUGAUGGGUGGAGGGAGCCUGAUCAUCGGACAGCCUGUCCUUCCCAUUGUUUCCAGUUAGAUGUGGACAAAUGGUGAAAGUCCCUCGCUGAUGUUGCACCACCAAUCACUCACUGGCGAAAGGGCUUCGUCACUGUGACACAGGGAGCAGAACUUCUUCUGAUCCUGAUGUAGAGAGGAGCUGACUGCUGACUUUGGAAUGCAGGAUUAAUGAGAGGUUGAGCAAGGACCUAGGAAGGGAUGGACCUCUGGCCCAGACAGGAACUUGGGUUGGCAGGAGGUGGGACUGAGAAGCAGUGGAGAACCCAAAGCAGACCCCUAACCUGUGUUAGACAUUCUUUUCCAGAUCAAUACUACCAAGCUGAGCUACUUAAAAUAAUCUGUGUGUAAAGGGGGUUUCUUUUUUUUUCUUUGUUACUGUUGGGAAAGGGUUUCCUUUUGUUAACUAGCAGGAAUGCUAAUUUACUGAUAACGAGAAUGGUAUUCCUUUGUAAACCAAAUGGGGAUUAAUGUUCUUUCUUCUGAGUCUGUAAGUUUUUGUUGACGGGCUUUUGGGCAGAUCAGCGCGAGGGGGUCGAGAGAGAGGACGCAAUGCUCUAAGCUGGGCGAGGAUCGGACCCCAAAGGGGGGUCCGAGGCUGGGAGAUUCUCCAAGGGGGGGGGAUUGAAGCUAGAUGUGCUUGGUUGACCACUCGGAGGGUCCUGAGCUGUUUGGAGAGUCGAGGAGUUCGGAGGGUCCUGAGCUGCGAGUCGAGGAGUUCGGAGGGGAUCGAAUGGUGGCCAGAAGACUUCAGUAAUUGAGCUCCAACGGUUGUGCACGAAGUGGUUUGGACUUUGAUAAGUUUGGCGCCUUUUCUUUAAUUUUCUCUUCAUAUAUACUGUAUCGUUAUUAAUCACUUAGUUAUAGUAACCUUUAUAAAUUGUACUCAUUUAAUCGCAUAUGGUGUACUGUCUGUUUUUGGGCGAGGCGGGGACAUCACACAGCAUCCACACCAGCUGAUUACCCAGUUUGGCGGGGCCGAAGGCUGCUCCCCCUAGACAAGAACGAGCUGAGCGAGCCUGAGGCGACCCAGGGAGUUACAUGUGCAACACAUACAAAAUGCCGAAGGAACUCAGCAGGCCAGGCAGCAUCUAAGAAAAGAGGUCAGUCGACGUCUUGGGCCGAGACCCUUCAGUAAGACCUACAGUCGAUGCUUGGGGCCAAAACCCUUCAGCAGGACAGAAUACAGUUGACUGUACUCAUUUUGUGUGUGUUGCUCAAAUUUCCAGCAUCUGCAGAAUUUCUCCUGUUUAAAAUAAUCUGUCCUUAACUGAUUUGAUAAUGGUAUUUAGUUUAUUAUUGUCAUUAGCCAUAUGUCUGCUGUAGCAGAUGACC
Molecule: long non-coding RNA, 4307 nt
Organism: Hypanus sabinus (Atlantic stingray)
Lineage: Eukaryota; Metazoa; Chordata; Chondrichthyes; Myliobatiformes; Dasyatidae
Exons: 4
Source: RefSeq, a predicted model, not a curated record